RNAcentral lists this ribosomal RNA (84 nucleotides) under Medicago truncatula (barrel medic). Lineage: Eukaryota; Viridiplantae; Streptophyta; Magnoliopsida; Fabales; Fabaceae. RNAcentral also lists the same sequence under 2 other names. The record is from RNAcentral.
CCUUCCCAUCCCGAACAGGACCGUGAAACGACUCUACGCCGAUGAUAGUGCGGAUUCCCGUGUGAAAGUAGGUAAUCGUCAGGC